GUGCCGGGGUUUCCCCGCUACGCGCCCAGCCGCGCCGCCGGCGGCCCCGGGAGCGCCGCGCCGCGCCGCGCCCGCCGGGGACACCCGGGCCAGGCCCGCCGCCCCCUGCAGCAGAAGCUGGGGGCUAGGCAAGAAGCGGCUCCGCCCGCGGCCGGAAGUAGCAAAAAGGAAGCAGAACUGGAAAAGGUACUCUGUCAGCAGUACACUGUGGUGCUAAAGCAUGACUGAAGAAGUAACUACGAGGCUGCCAGAUCAGAAAAGAACAGAUGAAGUUGCCAAAGUUCUGUACCUAUGCAUUCCUUCUGCUCACUCAGAACAACAGCUGCAAACACCUGUGGGCAUAAUUUUCAGGUAGGACAUUAACCAAUCUAUCUUAGUCAUUUACAGACAUUUAGACAUUUAUAUGUCAGUCAGGAAGACAUAUAAAUGACUUAAGUUGCACCAGUAAUUGAAUGUGCCUACAAAGUGGGGGCCAAAAAACCCUCAGGCUGCAAUUAAAAAAUCUAUCCCUCCUGGCACACCCCACGUGCCUCUGGUCUCUCAUGCUAUACGACAGUCUUGUCCCUAGUGCAACUAUCCUGAGUUUGAAGGGGCUGUUCAUGACUGACACCAUUGGGGAAACCGGAAUCAGGCCCAGAGAUAUUCAGAUCAUCAGAUGGAUUCCACAAGCAUGAUGGCCUGCCCAGUCUCAUUCCCAGCAUUGUUGCACCUGCCGCCAAUGACAGCGUCUUUAGAAAAUGAGCUUCAGUCUUCAUGUCUGGUUUCUCAAAAGCAACAAAGCAGCCAACAUCAAAGUGUAGCUGACUUCCCAUGGCCUGUCACCAAGUUUUGUGAUUUCUCACAAUGGAGCCAAGGCAUGGGCCAACAUGAGGGGUUCAAUUUAAUGCAGGUGCCCUGUUCUCAGCAUUGUCUGAAUUAUAAAGAGGAGGGUAUCAUGAUCAACAUGUACUUACUGGCGCAAAUGCAAAGUGUGCAUCUGCCUGAACUGACAUAAGGAACACCCUGUGAUUACCUGAGUAUUGUUACGUGCCUCUAGAGUGCAAGAAGCAGAACAUCAUCUCCUCCACCUGGAAAUGAAGGGGCUGAUCCUGUAUGAGGUUGAUCCAUCAGAUUUGCUCCUCUUCUGACAGGGCUGUGGAUCCCAACAUUAAUCUUGUUCAGAAGAACAUGGACUGAAAUGUGUACAAUGGAGAGAGAUCUUCUGUGUACUUUGCUGCUUUUUUUUGUUUGUUUGUUUUUUGGUUGGUUUGUUUGUUUUUGGGACAGUUAUUCCCUCGUUCUGUUUCUACACAUUCAAGAAAAUGUGUAGUGGUUUGCAUUGUCUACAGCUUUGUAACAUCUUGAAACAAUGCAUUCAACUGCUACAACUUGAGCCAAAGGGAGGGAAAAAAAGACUGACAGUAUAUGGUGCUCAUUCUAUUCAAGAUAGAGACUGCCAGUUAUACAUAUGACUGAAGCAAAGGCUCCUGAAUUGCUCUGCUUUGCUGGUCUUAGAAAAUGUCAAACUGGUUGAUUUCUGCUGCAGUAUGCUAAGUAACAUAAUCAAAGGAGCCCUCUUCUGUCACACUCUAAGUAAGUAUGCUAAAAUCUUCUCUGUUAUUCACAUGUGAGACAUACGUACCUCUGAGGUGCAGGAAAUACUAUAACCCAUAUUUUAAAGGUGUGCAGGAAAUACCACUAGCCAUACUUUAAAGGUGGCAUAAUCUUUAAUGUUGGGGGUAGAGAACAACUUGCUCAAGGUAGAAAAUUAUGUCUGCAUCAAAGUCACAGCUGCAAAUUGUCUUGUCUCUGUACCUACAUGUAGAUAGGACAGAAGAGGAAGGGAACUUUUACGGUCCUGACACAAGCAAGGCAGAUGAACUAUCUAAAUAAGCACAUCUAAUACAGCAUGGAUUGUAAGGAGUUGUGCACACGUCAGCUGAGCUUCUACAUCCCUACCAGUUAUUCCUAACCAACUUUCUUAUCAUAACUAUUUCAUGUUGCUUCUGGUUGUUGCAACAUUCUGGCCCACAGGCAAACAACUUGAAUUUUUUAGCUCAUAAUUUUAUGCAUUUCUGCUUUAUUGUCUCAUUUUGAAUCUCCAUUAAAAUGAGAAGGGGGGGGAGGGAGGAUAGGGGGACACGAGCCCUUUACAUGCUUAUUCACCAAGCAGUUUUCUUAGGUUCUUAGAGGUCUAAUUAUGAUGUGAAAACAUGAUUUCCAACUUUGCAGAUGAUACUAAAUUGGAAGAGAAUAAAAACAAAUGAGGAAUAAUUAGAUAGCGCAGCCAGAUAUGAAAGAAUUUAGAUCAUUUUAUAUUUCAGUAAUAAUAGAUGGCAAAUGCAGGGCUGUGCAAAUAAAUUCAGAAUAAUUAGCCUCACAGUGCGGCAUAAAAUGUGGGACCCUGUUUUAAAAGAUGAGAGGCUACAACACACUGAGUGAAAUAAAUCCUGAACUUAAGAGUGCAAAAUUCACAUCUAAGGUUCCCUUACCUACGUGACUUGCUAGUGACCUCAGUGGUACUCUGCUAGAAAAAUCACCAUCAGCAAGAAAAUCACCAUCUGGCCUCUGGGAAAGGAAAGGCUACACAUUAUUGUCUGAGAAGGACUAUUUCCUUCACAGUUAUUAAUUUGGUGCCCAAUAUGGGACCAAAGGCUGGAUUUGGUCUGUAGGAUGUCUCUACCCAAGCCAGUGUCUUUCUCCAGAGGCAAAAAGAACAGUGAGGAUACACCAAAGAAACAUCAGCUUUCGUUUGCCUUGCUCAAGUGCUCCCGAGGAAGAGGCACCUACCUCUGGCUGCAGCAGAGACAGACUGCUUGGCUAGAAAGAGCUCUAGGCUGAUCAGGAAUGGCCAUUUUUUAUAUACUUUCAUUAUGUUAGGUCCCUUGAUGUAUUGAGGCCUGAAGUUAGAAGAAGGUUUUCAACAGUUAGGCCGGGAAGGUUCUAGGAGAGCUGUCAGUUGAAACAAUGUGGAAAGAUACCUUGAUGGUUUUAAAACGUUGUUUCAUGGACCAUGACAGUUUAUAUGCGGAGAUAGCAAGGAUGGCAAGGGACAUCACCCUAAGAGAUCACCAUACUUUCCUAUGCUGCUGUGAACUACUUUCCGCUCUAUAUACUUCUGCCUGCUUCUCUGCUCUUGACUGAACCACAACCUGUCAAAAAUGCACUCCCUCUUCUGCAUAUAUCAGCACAUUAAUUUUCAGCUAUGUGAUACAGAAAGUUCCUCUAUAUAGACCCAAGAAAAAUUACAGGGUUUUUUCUUCACAGCAGAUGUGGGCAAGAGCCUGUUUUUUCUUGAAGAGAUGAUGUUUUGUUUGGGAAACUGAUUUUUUUGUUUUAUUGAGAGUUUUCUGUUCACAUGGAAGGUAGGAGGAAGAAGAGAAAUGUACAAAUGCAUGAGGGAAUUAAGGUCACUGCUGGUGAAUCAGUACAGCAAGGGAUUACCAACUACAGAAUAUUUUCACUCAAAGCAAAAUUAAACAGACAUCUCUGAAAUAAUGAGGUCUAAAAUCCAUCAUUAACACAUGAAAUUUGAAAAGUGUUAGGUUGAUCUCUUUGCCUAUCUAGAGAUGCCUUUAUUGAGGUGGAAUUUUACCUGUGUAGGUCUUUCUAUGGUAAACUUUUAGCUUGUUUAACAACAGCAAAAUAGUGAAAAACCCUGCCUUGUUAAGGGAUUUAUACAUUUCCUUCUAGCCACAUUUUCCAUGGAAUAGGUCUGAAUUAUUAACCAUCUUUCAAAGUAUGCAAAUGAAAGGGCUUUCAAAUCUUCCAAAUGCAAUGAAUCACGUUUCAGCAUUUCAGCAUUGAACGCCUGCGUAAUUUAUGGCAGACUGCACAUAAUUUCUAUGUAUGGCUAUACCUAACGUGGGUAGCUCAUUUCAUAUUUGAAAUUCAAUUCUGCUAGCUGACUAAUUGAUUCGUUUUCAUAAACACUCUGAAAUUUGUAAUAAGAACAAUGCUUUGCUGUAAGAUACUGUUUUGAGGCACUACCAAAAUUAACUAUGAAUAUUUACUUUCAAUAAAAGCCAGUGGGACCAACAGCAAAUAAUGAAAA
Strigops habroptila (Kakapo) is the source of this 4033-nucleotide long non-coding RNA. RefSeq lists it as uncharacterized. The record is from RefSeq and is a predicted model, not a curated record. NCBI's taxonomy places the organism in Eukaryota, Metazoa, Chordata, Aves, Psittaciformes, Psittacidae. The transcript has 3 exons.